UCUUAUAAAGAGAGGUGGAGGGACUGGCCCUGUGAAACCUCGGCAACCAUUGACAAUGUCAAACGGUGCCAAUUCCAGCAGAUUUAUUUUUUAAAAUCUGAAAUAUAAGA
This 110-nucleotide non-coding RNA is filed under the name Bacillus andreraoultii. RNAcentral describes it as "SAM riboswitch (S box leader)". It matches the Rfam family "SAM riboswitch aptamer (S box leader)". Rfam says of the family: The SAM riboswitch is found upstream of a number of genes which code for proteins involved in methionine or cysteine biosynthesis in Gram-positive bacteria. The SAM riboswitch acts at the level of transcription termination control. Lineage: Bacteria; Bacillati; Bacillota; Bacilli; Caryophanales; Bacillaceae. The record is from RNAcentral.